GACGAACGCUGGCGGCGUGCUUAACACAUGCAAGUCGAACGAAGAGCGACGGAAGCUUGCUUCUAUCAAUCUUAGUGGCGAACGGGUGAGUAACGCGUAAUCAACCUGCCCUUCAGAGGGGGACAACAGUUGGAAACGACUGCUAAUACCGCAUACGAUCUAAUCUCGGCAUCGAGGAUGGAUGAAAGGUGGCCUCUACAUGUAAGCUAUCACUGAAGGAGGGGAUUGCGUCUGAUUAGCUAGUUGGAGGGGUAACGACCCACCAAGGCGAUGAUCAGUAGCCGGUCUGAGAGGAUGAACGGCCACAUUGGGACUGAGACACGGCCCAGACUCCUACGGGAGGCAGCAGUGGGGAAUCUUCCGCAAUGGACGAAAGUCUGACGGAGCAACGCCGCGUGAGUGAUGACGGCCUUCGGGUUGUAAAGCUCUGUUAAUCGGGACGAAAGGCCUUCUUGCGAAUAGUGAGAAGGAUUGACGGUACCGGAAUAGAAAGCCACGGCUAACUACGUG
RNAcentral lists this ribosomal RNA (510 nucleotides) under uncultured bacterium. RNAcentral's name for it is "partial 16S ribosomal RNA". It matches the Rfam family "Bacterial small subunit ribosomal RNA", at positions 28 to 507 of the family's 1533-position model. The record is from RNAcentral.